RNAcentral lists this ribosomal RNA (440 nucleotides) under uncultured bacterium. Its description in RNAcentral is "partial 16S ribosomal RNA". It matches the Rfam family "Bacterial small subunit ribosomal RNA", at positions 338 to 795 of the family's 1533-position model. The record is from RNAcentral.
CCUACGGGAGGCAGCAGUGGGGAAUAUUGCACAAUGGGCGAAACCCUGAUGCAGCGACGCCGCGUGAGUGAAGAAGUAUUUCGGUAUGUAAAGCUCUAUCAGCAGGGAAGAAAAUGACGGUAGCUGACUAAGAAGCAACGGCUAACUACGUGCCAGCAGCCGCGGUAAUACGGAGGGGGCGAGGGUUAGCCGGAUUUACUGGGGGUAAAGGGAGCGUAGACGGCGGAACAAGUCAGAAGUGAAAACCGGGGGCUCAACGCUGGGAGUGCUUUUGAAACUGGUGGGCUGGAGUGCAGGAGAGGUAAGCGGAAUGCCUGGUGUAGCGGUGAAAUGCGUAGAUAUUAGGAGGAACACCAGUGGCGAAGGCGGCUUACUGGACCGUAACUGACGUUGAGGCUCGAAAGCGUGGGGAGCAAACAGGAUUAGAUACCCCAGUAGUC